CUGGCCUUGACAUAGAAAGAAUUUAGCAGAGAUGUAAAAGUGCUAGUUUACUAGAGCUUUCAUACAGAUGCUGCACGGCUGUCGUCAGCUCGUGUCGUGAGAUGUUAGGUUAAGUCCUGCAACGAGCGCAACCCUCGUGUUUAGUUACUAACAGAUUAUGCUGAGGACUCUAGACAUACUGCCUGGGCAACCAGGAGGAAGGUGAGGACGACGUCAAGUCAUCAUGGCCCUUACGGCCAGGGCUACACACGUGCUACAAUGGGGUAUACAAAGAGCAGCGAUACCGCGAGGUGGAGCAAAUCUCAUAAAAUAUCUCCCAGUUCGGAUUACACUCUGCAACUCGAGUGUAUGAAGUUGGAAUCGCUAGUAAUCGUAGAUCAACAAUGCUACGGUGAAUACGUUCCCGGGUCUUGUACUCACCGCCCG
Molecule: ribosomal RNA, 426 nt
Filed under: uncultured Campylobacterota bacterium
Lineage: Bacteria; Pseudomonadati; Campylobacterota
Description: bacterial SSU rRNA
Rfam family: Bacterial small subunit ribosomal RNA
Source: RNAcentral